This 204-nucleotide ribosomal RNA is filed under the name uncultured bacterium. Its description in RNAcentral is "partial 16S ribosomal RNA". It matches the Rfam family "Bacterial small subunit ribosomal RNA", at positions 524 to 728 of the family's 1533-position model. The record is from RNAcentral.
UACGUAGGGUGCAAGCGUUAAUCGGAAUUACUGGCGUAAAGCGUGCGCAGGCGGUGAUGUAAGACAGAUGUGAAAUCCCCGGGCUCAACCUGGGAACUGCAUUUGUGACUGCAUCGCUGGAGUGCGGCAGAGGGGGAUGGAAUUCCGCGUGUAGCAGUGAAAUGCGUAGAUAUGCGGAGGAACACCGAUGGCGAAGGCAAUCCC